Molecule: ribosomal RNA, 113 nt
Filed under: Carlito syrichta (Philippine tarsier)
Lineage: Eukaryota; Metazoa; Chordata; Mammalia; Primates; Tarsiidae
Source: RNAcentral
GCCUACCAUCAUACCAACUCUGAACAUAGCUGAUCUCAUCUGACCUCAGAAACUAAGUUGGUUGGGCCUGAUUAGUACUUUUAUGGGAGGCCAGGAAUCUGGAAAAGAAGAUG